AGCAUAUCAAUAAGCGGAGGAAAAGAAACCAACAGGGAUUGCCCCAGUAACGGCGAGUGAAGCGGCAACAGCUCAAAUUUGAAAUCUGGCCCCUCGGGCCCGAGUUGUAAUUUGUAGAGGAUGCUUUUGGCAAGGUGCCGCCCGAGUUCCCUGGAACGGGACGCCGCAGAGGGUGAGAGCCCCGUCUGGCUGGCCACCGAGCCUCUGUAAAGCUCCUUCGACGAGUCGAGUAGUUUGGGAAUGCUGCUCAAAAUGGGAGGUAUAUGUCUUCUAAAGCUAAAUAUUGGCCAGAGACCGAUAGCGCACAAGUAGAGUGAUCGAAAGAUGAAAAGCACUUUGAAAAGAGGGUUAAACAGUACGUGAAAUUGUUGAAAGGGAAGCGCUCAUGACCAGACUUGGGCUUGGCGAAUCAUCCGGCGUUCUCGCCGGUGCACUUCGCCUCGCCCAGGCCAGCAUCAGUUCGCGCCGGGGGACAAAAGCUUCGGGAAUGUGGCUCCUCCGGGAGUGUUAUAGCCCGUUGCAUAAUACCCUGGUGCGGACUGAGGUUCGCGCAUCUGCAAGGAUGCUGGCGUAAUGGUCAUCAGCGACCCGUCUUGAAACACGGACCAAGGAGUCGUCUUCGUAUGCGAGUGUUCGGGUGUCAAACCCCUACGCGUAAUGAAAGUGAACGCAGGUGAGAGCUUCGGCGCAUCAUCGACCGAUCCUGAUGUUCUCGGAUGGAUUUGAGUAAGAGCAUACGGGGCCGGACCCGAAAGAAGGUGAACUAUGCCUGUAUAGGGUGAAGCCAGAGGAAACUCUGGUGGAGGCUCGCAGCGGUUCUGACGUGCAAAUCGAUCGUCAAAUAUGGGCAUGGGGGCGAAAGACUAAUCGAACCUUCUAGUAGCUGGUUU
This 890-nucleotide ribosomal RNA is filed under the name Cladobotryum rubrobrunnescens. Its description in RNAcentral is "LSU rRNA". It matches the Rfam family "Eukaryotic large subunit ribosomal RNA", at positions 37 to 957 of the family's 3401-position model. Lineage: Eukaryota; Fungi; Ascomycota; Sordariomycetes; Hypocreales; Hypocreaceae. The record is from RNAcentral.